AGUGAACGCUGGCGGUAGGCCUAACUCAUGCAAGUCGAACGGCAGCACAGUAAGAGCUUGCUCUUACGGGUGGCGAGUGGCGGACGGGUGAGGAAUACAUCGGAAUCUACUUUUUCGUGGGGGAUAACGUAGGGAAACUUACGCUAAUACCGCAUACGACCUACGGGUGAAAGCAGGGGAUCUUCGGACCUUGCGCGAUUGAAUGAGCCGAUGUCGGAUUAGCUAGUUGGCGGGGUAAAGGCCCACCAAGGCGACGAUCCGUAGCUGGUCUGAGAGGAUGAGCAGCCACACUGGAACUGAGACACGGUCCAGACUCCUACGGGGGGCAGCAGUGGGGAAUAUUGGACAAUGGGCGCAAGCCUGAUCCAGCCAUACCGCGUGGGUGAAGAAGGCCUUCGGGUUGUAAAGCCCUUUUGUUGGGAAAGAAAAGCAGCAGGUUAAUACCCCGCUGUUCUGACGGUACCCAAAGAAUAAGCACCGGCUAACUUCGUG
This 492-nucleotide ribosomal RNA is filed under the name uncultured bacterium. RNAcentral's name for it is "partial 16S ribosomal RNA". It matches the Rfam family "Bacterial small subunit ribosomal RNA", at positions 29 to 507 of the family's 1533-position model. The record is from RNAcentral.